This 541-nucleotide ribosomal RNA is filed under the name Ochrobactrum sp. 10M15. RNAcentral describes it as "bacterial SSU rRNA". It matches the Rfam family "Bacterial small subunit ribosomal RNA", at positions 139 to 672 of the family's 1533-position model. Lineage: Bacteria; Pseudomonadati; Pseudomonadota; Alphaproteobacteria; Hyphomicrobiales; Brucellaceae. The record is from RNAcentral.
CGGAAUAACUCAGGGAAAUUUUCCCCCAUACCGUAUGUGCCCCCCUUUAAAAUUUCAGGAUACAUAAAAUGCCCUGGCAUUUUAUGGGGGGGAAAGAUUUAUCGGCAAAGGAUGAGCCCGCGUUGGAUUAGCUAGUUGGUGGGGUAAAGGCCCACCAAGGCGACGAUCCAUAGCUGGUCUGAGAGGAUGAUCAGCCACACUGGGACUGAGACACGGCCCAGACUCCUACGGGAGGCAGCAGUGGGGAAUAUUGGACAAUGGGCGCAAGCCUGAUCCAGCCAUGCCGCGUGAGUGAUGAAGGCCCUAGGGUUGUAAAGCUCUUUCACCGGUGAAGAUAAUGACGGUAACCGGAGAAGAAGCCCCGGCUAACUUCGUGCCAGCAGCCGCGGUAAUACGAAGGGGGCUAGCGUUGUUCGGAUUUACUGGGCGUAAAGCGCACGUAGGCGGACUUUUAAGUCAGGGGUGAAAUCCCAGAGCUCAACUCUGGAACUGCCUUUGAUACUGGAAGUCUUGAGUAUGGUAGAGGUGAGUGGAAUUCCGA